CUGAGGCUCGCUCAAACGAUCCUCUGGGUCUGGCUCGUGCUGAUUCCCAAAAUCAGGCAUCGGUUGGACGCUCCUCCGUAAUCCAAACGGCAUUCACGUAACCACAAUUUCCUCUGAAAAUAGCAGACCGGUUCCGCCUCUCCCCUUGCAAGAUGUAAUCCAAACCGUGGAUUUUAGUUGGUGGAUGCGUCAGAAAUCUCGCGAAGCACGAUAACACCGCAUUUCUGUUCACUUAAGCGGAUCAUUUCUGCACGGUUAGAGGAAGGCCAACGUUUCAUCUUCAAGCAAGCGAAAAUCGUGAUCGAUGCCUUCGAGGUGAAUUCAUUUAAUGGGAUUAAUUCGAAUCUGAAUGAAGAAGCCAUUGUCAUAAAGCUACCAGCUUGAGAUUCCAGAUAUUUGAAAAGAUCCAAAUGUGAAUGGCGCUCGGUCAAUUGGUAGAUCGCAAUAAUUGGAAUCGGCAUUAGGAUUCGACAGGCUAAUAGCUCGGCUGCCGAGAUACGAGCUACAAUACGGUUUAUUGGCACAAGGGCGAACAGCACCGUUCAUAUCGAGUUUCUGCAACACCGGCGACAAUAUUUGUAGUCGAGUCAGCUGCGCCUCUCGAAUAACUCCUGUCCCAUGUGUUCCGCGCGCGAACACGCGCGCCAGCUAUGCACCAUGACGAACGUGCAAUCAUUUUAAUAGAACUGAUACAUAUGAUCGAUGAUCAAGAUAUGACGAGUGUCAUGGGAAUCGAAUUUUGAUUGGAACAUUAAAUAUAUUGAUGUAUCGAAUAUAUUUUGAGAGAAAGAACGAUUAAAAUAAGAUAAUUAAGAUCCAAAGUUUGAAAAAAAAAAGCGAAGUGAGAUCAGUAUGAUAAGAGUUCAAAAUAGAUUUUUCUUAAAAAUUUAACAUUUAUUUAAAGGUUUCUUCCUCGUCAACGCAAAUACAAUUCAAUUUAUUAUAAUUCAUCUUCUCUAAUUAAAUUUUCUCUAAAAUUUAACCACUUUCAAUUUCCAUUACAUCAAGAAUUCAUUAUCUGCAAACUAUUUCACUUUGUCAUUCUCUUUGUCGACAUCUGUUCAAGAAAAUCUCAUAUCUUGGAACGUGUUUUUCGCUAACCACAGGUAGAUUAGAUAUCGGUUCGUACGAGGCUGUUGAACCGUAGCUCGCGUUCUCCACUGUCUCUACUGUAUUAUGCAAAUGCACGUAGCAACGUUGCAGCCAGGCAAGUGGUUAAUAAUACAUCUGUGAGUAAUAGGCCACGCUAGUUUCCGUUUACCUGGUUGGCCAAGAUUAAGGGCUUUCAGUCGAGGACACGCUCGAUAGAUUCGGGCUUUCUUCGAGGGGAAGUCGCCAUGCCCCCUCCUUGCCUACGUUCCCAGUUUGAUUAUGGAUCAUGAUUGAAAUCGAAUCGAGAUUGCGACUACAAAUUUACAAGUGCGCACAGGAUAAUUUGGAUAACGAGGCUCAAGUUGAAUUGGAUUGAUAUUACGUAGGAAUUUGAAGUUCUUAAGUUCGUUGUUUUGUAUGAAAUUGAUAGGAAUAGUUCAAUUUUAUUUAAAAGAAAAAAAUUAAAAAAUAAGAAAAAUUAAAUCUGCAGAGACUAGCAAGGUGUUUAUGAUUCUUAAAAGAGUUUAUUGUUCAAAGAUUUAUGGGAGAAUUUAUACCUGAAAUUUAAUGCUCCUUACUAACGAGUGAUUCUAAUAAUGUUUCCUUUUAUUACUUCCGCGCGCUAUUUUUAAGUAUGCGCUCAGAUCUUGGAUAGUAAACCACUUCCUCCGGCCCAUAUCUCUACUUCAAUAACCGUAAAUUUUGAUUGUCUUUGCGUGACAGAUACUUCACUUGACUAUUCUCUCACGUGGAAAAUCAUCCGUUUUGCAAGUUCGUCGCGUCCACGAGAUCCAAUAGUAAAAUUAUUUUUCUUAUGUUUGAAAAAAUUGACAUCAAAAUUAAAAGUUAAGAAAAUUCAACGAAAUAGAAUCCACUCUGGCUACAAUUAUUGAAUAUAAAACUCAAUAAUUUUCGAAAUUUUCUAUGUCAACAAAGAUUGACGCCAAAAGAUCCAAGAAAAUAAAAAUUUAUUUUAUACGUACAUUCAAAACAUUUAAAUUUUCUGAGAAAUAAUUUUCGAAAUUUCUUUUAUCUAGAUGGCUCGAGAGUUUAAAAAAAAUUCAGGAAAAUAUUCCAUGAGAAAGAGAAAAGUAAAUAAGAAACUGCUCGGAAUACAUCAAACAAAAUAGAGCAUCCCAGUGGCACGAUAUAAAAUUUCCAACGUGGUCAGGAUUGAUGAUCCGGCAAUAUGUCUCUCGUGAAACACGAGGCACCGUGUUCCACGAGCUACGUUUCCAGAGUAAGUGGUCGAGAUGAAAGCUGGGCAAAGGCGUCAGGUGCGAUCAACCGUUUUCAAUAAGUUAUACCCGACCGUCCACCCUCCAUCGAUCCUCGAGAUCACCGUGUCAGCAUGAGGAUCACUUCCGCACGAUUUUUGCGUGCUGGAUUUUAUGAUAUAUCUAUAGAAACCUGGCAUCAAGCACGAAGACAAACCUAAAUUUCACCAUUGCUAACUUGAACAAACGGCAACAUACGUUAAUACUCUGAGGACACAAAGCGAUAUCAAAGUCCGAAAGCCGAACAUUGCUGUACCACAAAGUAGAGUCUUCUGACUUGUCAACUACAGAUUGAGCGCUGUACAUUCCCGGUUGACUUCUAAAGGACUGGCAUACAAUCGCUGGAAGUGGAUACUGUAUUCAGCCAGACGGCUGUCAUCCAGCUGUACCCUGGCGAUUAGCUCCAAUCACAAGAAGAAUCAUUCUCCAUAAUUUUUAUCAGUGAAAAAUCAAAAUCCCUAGGAGAUUCCUAGAUAAAUCUUUCCAAACAACUUACGAUCUUUGAAUCACACAACUUUUGAAGAUUACUGUAUAUACAUAUAGAUAUGCAAAAUUUAAACCUCAAGAGUUAUACAGUUCCAUAAUUCCACCCACGCCAAGAAUCAUUUUCAAGUACCACCCUCCAUCGCCCACGCAGCAAAUUAAAAUUCCUAAAGGAGAAGUUGUACAAAUCUUUCUAAACCGGAAGCGGCAGCCACUGUCCAAACGUUCCAUCACGUUGCACUGAAACGAGUGAGGGAGGCUGUGCUAACUGUAGCGGUGCUCAAGGACUGGCGGAGAUCCGUGAAUCGUAACGGAUCGAAGGUCUUGGCCGGAAUUUAUUUUUUCAUUCGAUUUUACGUGAAGCAUGUGAACAUAGAUAGCAAGCUUUACGAUUUCUUUCUUUCUUUUUUAUUUCUCUUAUUAUUGUGAUUUUUAUUUAUAAUAUUAUUGAAGAUGAUUUUUUUCCUUUCAACGACACGAUUAAUUCUUUAGUCACAAUUGAUAAUUAAUUACUGGACUAUAAAUAAAUUAAUCACCAGUAACAAAAUCAUUACUAAUAUUAUAAUGGUUAAAUUAUAACUCACUUACUAUUUUCCAUAUACUAUAUCUUCUAUAAGGAUAACAAUGGAUGCAAAAUAUUUAAAAAUUUGCAACUCUA
Apis laboriosa (Himalayan honeybee) is the source of this 3510-nucleotide long non-coding RNA. RefSeq lists it as uncharacterized. The transcript has 8 exons. NCBI's taxonomy places the organism in Eukaryota, Metazoa, Arthropoda, Insecta, Hymenoptera, Apidae. The record is from RefSeq and is a predicted model, not a curated record.